UACAGUUGGUAUGCAUGAACAGAUUUUAUCCAAAUAUGGAAUUACAGUGUUCAGUUGGGUGUUUUACAAAUGAACAGUCUCAUAAACGAAGCUGUGGUGUUGUUUCUCCUGUGAUAAGAGCAGCAAUUGACUUCUGAGUUGUAGUAUCUAUAUCUUGGUAUAACCAAAAUGUCUUGUGUGUCGUUGUAGUUAAACAGUAAACUGCUGUAGUUUAAAAGUUAAAAUAAAAUGGUGGAUUUGCAAUACACAGAGGUAAUCACUCAACAACAACAACAAAAAAAGUAGAACAAUUAAAAACAGUCAAGCAACCAACUUUGAAAUUAUUGGAUCACUUGAGAUGAAAUGACCUGAAAGUCAGGGGGAAGGAUCUUCAAAUAGGUGUAACUUUUGAUAAUGUUUUUCAUUUAAUCUUCUAGUUUCGGACUAAACAUCCUCUACCAGCUUCCAAACUAUCAAAAGUGCAUUUUUCAUGAUGUAAACGAUUAUUUGAGGUGUUACUCAUAACCACCGGUUAUAUCCAUCGGGAUAUAACAGUUUGUCCACACGAGGCCGCUCUUGUUCAAGAGAUGACUGGUAACAGUGUGCCAGUCUAUAGUGAAACACUCACGGAACUAUAUUAUGUUAUCCCAUGUCUUUGCAUAGUUUCCCGCUGCAUGUCGGAAUUCCGGAGUUCAUAUUGUAAAUGUGUAAUGGCGUGCAAAACUCGUCACAGUGUUGUCUAUAACAUAAUGUCUUUACCAUGAUGCAAAUUAACUUGGUGUGUGUGAGAGAGCGAAGACCUGGCAACCAUGAACCAUGCGCUGACGUAAUCACCGCGCGCCCUUUGCUGGCUUGUCGCGCGUGCGUUCCUGCUCCUUUUUUGUUCGAGGUCCACGAAGCGUGCACGUGCCAGCUCAAGGUUAUAACCCGGCUAAUCAUAAAGCUCGUGAAAAAAAAGCAGAAACACAGCAGAGCCACAAUGAUUUCAUGUUUCUGUUCAGCAACUGAUUACCGUCCCGGAUAGGAUGGACACCGGGAGAUGUGUAGGUGAACUGAUGCUCAGAUGACUGAAGGGAGCAGUACCUAGUCCUUUCUGAGGUAUAUAUUUCACAUUCAUUAACAAUAUCAGGGCAGAAGCAUAUUCAUGACUGGUCAAAUCACUUCUGAAAAUAAUGUAAAUGGAGUCAUGAUAGUGGAAUUAUGCAGGCAUGAUUUGUUCAGCUAAGAAGCUAAUCAAAGCAAAGCUGAUUAUAAGAUAUGUGCAAGGAUGACCCCUACCUGCUGAGGUUAUAACCAGUGAAACAUAGCAUGUAUUACCUGAGCACAUAUUGGUUCUUUGAGCAGAAAGAGCAGCAUUUCUGUGAACCUCACUUUUAAUGGGUUUGUUUUUAUUUUUCUGUUUUAUGAGGUUUUGUGGAACUACAGUGAAGAUAACCAUACCAAUACAGAAUCUUGUCAUGUGGAGAUUGAAAAAGUAUGUAUUUCACACCCCUUCUCUACUAUAACAUAACAUUUAAUAAAAAUCCCAACUGAAAGGUAACUGUUGCAUGUAUUUUAUGGGGGAUGUUGGAGGUAAAGACUGGAUUGAUUACCACAUCUCUGAAAUUUGCAUAUUAUAUGGUUGUGUUAAAUUUCUAUAUUUUGAAACUGAACAGUUCCUUUGGAAUUUGGUUCCAAGGUGAAUACAAAGGUAUAUGCAUAUAAAUGCACUUUACCACCAGUGUAAACUUGAUGUAUUAUAGCACAUAUACUCGUCCAGCCAAAUGAGGCACAUUGGAUAGGAAAUGGUAAUAUUUAAGUUUUAAAGAUUAAUGUAAAACUUGGAUUAGCUCUCUGGACACUGCUGUUGUGCCAAGUGAGUUGAUUAUUGGUAGUGAAUGAAUUGUUCCCAUCAUUUAACAUUUGAAAUCUAAUAAAUGUUAAUAAAUUGAACUACUUGCUUUCUUGUUUUCAUUCAAAAUCAUUUACAAAUACACAAUAGGAAAAAGCUAAUUUGUAUAUUAUCUAUAGAGUGCACCCCAGAAUCAUUGGCAACUAAAUCAUAAAAUUGCAAAGAUUGUAUACAAUAAGCAUUAAACACAACUAAAAAUAAUUUUCCACUCCAACAGAAUGGACAUAGUACUUUAUUUUCUAUACAGUGCUCUUUUCUUUAUUCUUUUUUAAAUAAUGCUAUAAACUAUGUACCAUAACUGACACCCUUAUGCCAAUAAAUUAUUUUGUUCAUUUGCUCUGUUACUAGCAACUGUUGUUGCAAUUAUCCAGGUCCUGUUUCCCUGUGGUAUAAAUGUGGUUACAUAUCCAUCCCUUUUUUCCCAUUAGUAUAGAACAAAACCAAAGAACUUUCAACAUGAGACACCUGACAAUGAAUAUAACAUGUAUGAAACAAUUGGAAACUUGCCAGGAAUUGAACCCUUGACCACACUGACCACCCACACAGUGAGGAGGAUGGUGGAGAGAAAAAGAAACUAAAGAUCACAGUAAAGACAAACCUUGAAAAGAAAAAAAAACAACCCUGAACAUUUCAUGAGUUACUUUCAUAAAAAGCUGUUUGCAAGAACAAGAAGAAAGAAGCCCUUCCCGAGAGCGUCUCACAAAAUGCAGCACCCGAACUUCACCAAGCAUCGUUGGUAUUACACUUGCUAUUGUGUGUAAAUCCGUCUACAACCUAAUACAAGAAAAGAUUCUUUUUUCCAGAUCAUGUGUCAAAAUAUUAAUUGUAAGGAUGCAUAUAUACUUUUGAAACCAGUGAUAGAAAAUAUACAACAAUGGCUGAAUAAAACUAUACUAAAUAAUUUCAUGUGUUUUUUAUAUAUUCACUUUUGCUAAUCCCAAAGAUUCUGGAGGAUACUGUAAAUUGUGGCCAAUAACUGUUGGAUGCUCAUACAUACAUGUAAAUUGUGAUAAACGUCAUCUGUUGUGAUCAAACACUAAUACAAAGUCUUAAUUUAUACAUGUGAUGCAUGUGUUGAGUAAACAUUCGGGUGUGUUUAAUAGCAGUGUACCAAAAGAACAGUGUUAAGCAAAUACAUUUAUUUCAAUUUCUGUUCAAAACCAUCCCAUUUCGCACACACAACAAAUUCUCUAAUGGCAUCUGUUGCCCAAACAAAAUGAAAUAAAAUAAAUGAUGUCUCAUUAUUAGCUGUAUAAGUGCAGCUAUGUCAUGGUAAAUGUUAAACCAUCUUUUCUUCUUCAUUUUCUCCUUCCUGGUAGUGGCGAUAUUCUGCUUUCAGCUCCCAGGUGCUUUUGUGAGGUCCUCUGGGAUUGUAAACUCCAAUCUCACGCAGGAUUUCUUUCAGUAGAUGCUGAAGAGAAGGCGGGGUGUCAACCAUACUCUUCCAUAUAGAACUGGAUACAUGGAGAGGGGUUAUGAAAGAAACACUGUUGUGAAACACCACAGGCAUCAGAGCAAUCUCAGUUAGAAAAGGUGGAGGCAAUCUUUAUCAUCUGUGUGACAUUUUCUUUAGAACGUCUUAACUCUUGUUGCCACCCACCACCUCCAUGUUAUGCAAUGACGGUCAACUGUAAUUUGCAGUUUCAAAUGGCAAAUGUCUCAUGUAAAAGUCUUUCCUUCAACAACUGUCAAUCAAGUGAUUUAACUAACACCUCAGCAAACUAUGAAUAACUUAACAGCGUUACCAUUUAUAGAAAAUCUUGGCACAGCAAAUAAUGACUGCACUAUAAUCAUCAAUUACCAUUAAAAACAUAUAAAAUUGGAGUGACAUCUGGUUGCGUGUGUAUGCAGUUUAAAGGGAAAUUACUGAGGAAGGAACUUCAGCUGAACAUUUUCACUAUAUUUCUGUUCGUAAAUAGGUCAUUACGUUCAUAUUCAUGAUAUGCAUUGUGAAAACUAACACAAUACACAGUGAUGCGAUAACACCCCCCCCUCCCCACAGCUGUAAUUAAACACAGCUCUGAUGAGCUGUUACUCAUAGCUCUGUACAAGUUUUAAAAUCUAGGGUAACACUCAGAAUGGCACAAAAACCUACGCUUCAACAUACAGAAUAUGCACAUGCAAAGUAAAGAGCAUGAAGUUAACAUUUACUGUGAAAGUCAGCAUCAAG
Long non-coding RNA from Ictalurus furcatus (blue catfish), 4040 nucleotides. RefSeq lists it as uncharacterized. The record is from RefSeq and is a predicted model, not a curated record. Lineage: Eukaryota; Metazoa; Chordata; Actinopteri; Siluriformes; Ictaluridae. The transcript has 4 exons.